GGACUGGGAUUUGGGUUCCACAAAAUGACGCUCACCAGGAGGCAGGAGAUAACCAAAGUGCUGGUGCAGCACCUGAAGGAAUUUGCCACCCAAUUCAACAGUCCAGGUUGCAGAGAGACCAUCAGCGGCGACGCUGCAUGGCUUGACACCAACUUGGGUCCAUUCUCCACAGUGGCCACUUACAAAGACCUUAAGGACUUGAACGUCGGCAUGUUGGCAGCUCUUGAAACCCUGACACCUGACCAGAAAG
Sinocyclocheilus anshuiensis is the source of this 250-nucleotide long non-coding RNA. RefSeq lists it as uncharacterized. The transcript has 3 exons. The record is from RefSeq and is a predicted model, not a curated record. Lineage: Eukaryota; Metazoa; Chordata; Actinopteri; Cypriniformes; Cyprinidae.